This 465-nucleotide ribosomal RNA is filed under the name Vreelandella stevensii. RNAcentral's name for it is "partial 16S ribosomal RNA". It matches the Rfam family "Bacterial small subunit ribosomal RNA", at positions 338 to 795 of the family's 1533-position model. Lineage: Bacteria; Pseudomonadati; Pseudomonadota; Gammaproteobacteria; Oceanospirillales; Halomonadaceae. The record is from RNAcentral.
CCUACGGGUGGCUGCAGUGCGGAAUAUUGGACAAUGGGGGCAACCCUGAUCCAGCCAUGCCGCGUGUGUGAAGAAGGCCCUCGGGUUGUAAAGCACUUUCAGUGAGGAAGAACGCCUGGUGGUUAAUACCCAUCAGGAAAGACAUCACUCACAGAAGAAGCACCGGCUAACUCCGUGCCAGCAGCCGCGGUAAUACGGAGGGUGCGAGCGUUAAUCGGAAUUACUGGGCGUAAAGCGCGCGUAGGUGGCUUGAUAAGCCGGUUGUGAAAGCCCCGGGCUCAACCUGGGAACGGCAUCCGGAACUGUCAAGCUAGAGUGCAGGAGAGGAAGGUAGAAUUCCCGGUGUAGCGGUGAAAUGCGUAGAGAUCGGGAGGAAUACCAGUGGCGAAGGCGGCCUUCUGGACUGACACUGACACUGAGGUGCGAAAGCGUGGGUAGCAAACAGGAUUAGAUACCCGAGUAGUC